AUGGCCUGGACCGCUCUCCUUCUGAGCCUCCUUGCUCACUUUACAGGUUCUGUGGCCUCCUAUGAGCUGACUCAGCCACUCUCAGUGUCAGUGGCCCUGGGACAGACGGCCAGGAUUACCUGUGGGGGAAACAACAUUGGAAGUAAAAAUGUGCACUGGUACCAGCAGAAGCCAGGCCAGACCCCUGUGCUGGUCAUCUAUAGGGAUAGCAACCGGCCCUCUGGGAUCCCUGAGCGAUUCUCUGGCUCCAACUCGGGGAACACGGCCACCCUGACCAUCAGCAGAGCCCAAGCCGGGGAUGAGGCUAUUACUGUCAGGUGUGGGACAGCAGCACUGCACACAGAUCCCUCCCACAUGUGCCCGUGUGGAUGUGGGUGCACUGCCUGGGGUGGCUGAUGUGCUCCAGGGAUUCGAUGGUGCAGAUGCUUCAGGACAAAGCAUGGGAGUGGGGAUGGGACGAGGCUGCAGCUGGGGAGACCAGGGACCAACGCCACCCAGCAGAGGCUUCCAGUGGGGUUGGGCAGCCCCAUUUCCUGAGAAUAGAGAGAACCUGGCAAUGA
This is a non-coding RNA of Pan troglodytes (chimpanzee), 560 nucleotides long. The record is from the annotation of a RefSeq genome assembly. NCBI's taxonomy places the organism in Eukaryota, Metazoa, Chordata, Mammalia, Primates, Hominidae.